UCCGUGUUAACCACGGCAGUCUCUCUAGAGUGCCCAACUGAAUGCUGGCAACUAAAGAUAGGGGUUGCGCUCGUUGCGAGACUUAACCCAACAUGUCACCACACGAGCUGACGACAGCCAUGCAGCACCUGUCACUCUGUCUACCGAAGUAGAAAGCCUAAUCUCUUAGGUUGUCAGAGGAUGUCAAACCCAGGUAAGGUUCUGCGCGUUGCUUCGAAUUAAACCACAUGAUCCACCGCUUGUGCGGGUCCCCGUCAAUUCCUUUGAGUUUUAAUCUUGCGACCGUACUUCCCAGGCGGGGUACUUAUUGCGUUAGCGCCGACUCGGCAAGGGUCAAAUCCCGCCAAAUCUAGUACCCAUCGUUUACAGCGUGGACUAC
RNAcentral lists this unclassified non-coding RNA (379 nucleotides) under uncultured Oligoflexales bacterium. RNAcentral describes it as "contains 16S-23S intergenic spacer region". The record is from RNAcentral. Lineage: Bacteria; Pseudomonadati; Bdellovibrionota; Oligoflexia; Oligoflexales.